CCUUUAGAUGAUGAAAAGAUGAUCUCGUACAUCCUCCCAGGUCACGAUAUCGAGUAAAAUCCAAUCGUGUCUACCAUUAUCGCACAAGUAGAACCAAUUUUGGUCAAUGAAUUAUAUGCUCAGAUGUUAAGUUUUGAAA
Molecule: small nucleolar RNA, 139 nt
Organism: Phragmites australis (common reed)
Lineage: Eukaryota; Viridiplantae; Streptophyta; Magnoliopsida; Poales; Poaceae
Product: small nucleolar RNA Z247
Exons: 1
Source: RefSeq, a predicted model, not a curated record